UGGGGGGGGAAGAGCAAGGGCAGGGGAGGAACAGAAGGAAGACAUGACAGAACUCUUCAGUUGACAAUAUAACCUCAAAGAAAAAAGAGUAUAUAAUCAUCAACUUAUAAAACCAAGCUUUUACCAACAAAUUUAGUUUCAACACAUCUCAACGAUCUUUGGCCGCUUUUUGGACCCAUUUCUGCCAGCAGCUUGACUUGAGCCCUCUUCAACAAAGCUAGAUG
Molecule: unclassified non-coding RNA, 224 nt
Filed under: Hevea brasiliensis (rubber tree)
Lineage: Eukaryota; Viridiplantae; Streptophyta; Magnoliopsida; Malpighiales; Euphorbiaceae
Source: RNAcentral